GCCGUCCACAGAGCCGCCCGGUGAGGCCGGGAAGGGGAAAGGCCACUCGUGGGGACUUGAGUCCCUUCGGGAUCUCCGGUUCCUGCAGGUCCUCCUGGGACGCGCCAAAGGGAAGACAGCAGGAGAGCAGAAGUCUCCACUGGCAGGACUUCCCUCAGGAGCCUUCGCUUCUGGGAGCGGUUCUGAGUUACAGAAAAGAGAUCCCUCUGACUCCCAGCACGUCCCCUGCUGUGAACUCUCCUUUGCUGGCACAUUUGCUACAAGUGACAGACCUCGACGGACACGUGGUUAUUAGCUGGAGUCCGCAGUUUGUAUCAGGUUCUCUUGGUUUGGACGGGACACUCUGGGGUUUCCGUCAACGCUCCCCUUGCGGAGCCACCUCCCAGCUCUGACUCCCCACCUAGCAAUGCGACUUCAAGGCAAAUUCAACAGGGCUCUCCCAAUUUCCGGAGCCCCCAGAUACCCUGGCAACUGGACAGUUGGGAGAAAAUACACACACGUCUCUGCGUCGCAGAGUCUGGAAGACGGGCACGGCCCUGAGCCGGCCAGCUGCAGAGCAGAGGGCACUGUCUUGUAACCUGUCGGCAGCGCAGGUCGGACGCGGCGUCACGGCAACGUGCACAUUUGUGUUUUUCUUUUGCUUCUGUGAAAAUUCAGAGCAAAGUGACUUUUGUUACCAGGGGUGACUUCGGGGCCCCGGAGGCCCGCCCUGUGUGCGGAAGCACCCUCACUCUCACUCCAACCGUCUUCCUUUCAGGGCCCAUCACUGAAUGCACAUUUCUCCCCGACGACCUCGGUUUCAGAGCAAAUGCAAAUAAAAAGUGCUUAAAAUGGUUAA
This is a non-coding RNA of Ictidomys tridecemlineatus (thirteen-lined ground squirrel), 838 nucleotides long. Lineage: Eukaryota; Metazoa; Chordata; Mammalia; Rodentia; Sciuridae. The record is from RefSeq and is a predicted model, not a curated record.